Molecule: ribosomal RNA, 296 nt
Filed under: Escherichia coli
Lineage: Bacteria; Pseudomonadati; Pseudomonadota; Gammaproteobacteria; Enterobacterales; Enterobacteriaceae
Description: partial 16S ribosomal RNA
Rfam family: Bacterial small subunit ribosomal RNA
Source: RNAcentral
UUAAAUUGAAGAGUUUGAUCAUGGCUCAGAUUGAACGCUGGCGGCAGGCCUAACACAUGCAAGUCGAACGGUAACAGGAAGCAGCUUGCUGCUUCGCUGACGAGUGGCGGACGGGUGAGUAAUGUCUGGGAAACUGCCUGAUGGAGGGGGAUAACUACUGGAAACGGUAGCUAAUACCGCAUAACGUCGCAAGACCAAAGAGGGGGACCCUCGGGCCUCUUGCCAUCGGAUGUGCCCAGAUGGGAUUAGCUUGUUGGUGGGGUAACGGCUCACCAAGGCGACGAUCCCUAGCUGGU